RNAcentral lists this long non-coding RNA (254 nucleotides) under Elaeis guineensis (African oil palm). RNAcentral's name for it is "long non-coding RNA (EGUI_LNC008250)". The record is from RNAcentral. Lineage: Eukaryota; Viridiplantae; Streptophyta; Magnoliopsida; Arecales; Arecaceae.
AUGGGAGCGAUUAAGGGCUGAAUUAUCUCAUCCAGUUUGGCAUAUCCAAUGGUCUGAUAAUCUCAGGAUCAUACUUUCUCAUAACUAAUAAUUCAGCUAUUCGAUAGUCUUCUAUAUAAACAAUCAGAGCUCUGAGGAUCUAGAUAAGUCUAAUCAAAUUCCUCUCAGAGAAUCUAUUGCUGCUCCUUUGUUCUCUAUUUUUCUGACUAGAGCAUUCGAAGAUCCUCACCGAAGCACAACCUCCGGUUUGGGAC